CAUGCAAGUCGAACGGUAACAGCGGAGAUGAUCCUUUCGGGGUGAAUUUCCGGCUGACGAGUGGCGGACGGGUGAGUAAUGCAUAGGAAUCUGCCCUUUAGUGGGGGAUAACCCGGGGAAACCCGGGCUAAUACCGCAUAAGUCCUACGGGAGAAAGCGGGGGAUCUUCGGACCUCGCGCUGAAGGAUGAGCCUAUGUCUGAUUAGCUUGUUGGUGGGGUAAAAGCCUACCAAGGCGACGAUCAGUAGCUGGUCUGAGAGGACGGACAGCCACACUGGGACUGAGACACGGCCCAGACUCCUACGGGAGGCAGCAGUGGGGAAUAUUGGACAAUGGGCGCAAGCCUGAUCCAGCAAUGCCGCGUGUGUGAAGAAGGCCUGCGGGUCGUAAAGCACUUUCAGCGAGGAAGAAAAUCCAUGGGUUAAUACCCCGUGGCCUUGACGUUACUCGCACAAGAAUGCACCGGCUAACUUCGUGCCAGCAGCCGCGGUAAUACGGGGGGUGCAAGCGUUAAUCGGAAUUACUGGGCGUAAAGCGCACGUAGGCGGCUCGCUAAGUUGGAUGUGAAAGCCCUGGGCUUAACCUGGGAAUGGCAUUCAA
Molecule: ribosomal RNA, 600 nt
Filed under: uncultured Gammaproteobacteria bacterium
Lineage: Bacteria; Pseudomonadati; Pseudomonadota; Gammaproteobacteria
Description: bacterial SSU rRNA
Rfam family: Bacterial small subunit ribosomal RNA
Source: RNAcentral